UAGAAAUUAAGGAGUUAAUCCUGGCCGGCCCAAACUUAAAAUUCAGGUUAUAGAGGAAAUCAGGUUAUCCAAAACAAUGUCUCAAAAUAUCGGUCUCUGAAACCCUGAUUGAGUUAUAAGAUUAUGGUAAGAAAAUGGAACUCAAAGCUGGUCAAAGGCCAAAUGGGAUGAUGUUUGCAUGCCAACUUGAUGGCGCCGGCUAUGUGCAUAACAGG
RNAcentral lists this long non-coding RNA (215 nucleotides) under Elaeis guineensis (African oil palm). RNAcentral's name for it is "long non-coding RNA (EGUI_LNC021496)". Lineage: Eukaryota; Viridiplantae; Streptophyta; Magnoliopsida; Arecales; Arecaceae. The record is from RNAcentral.